UCUAAUAUGGCAGAAUAGUGCAAUGGACUUAAACCCCAUACAUAAAGGUAACUUUUUUUAGAA
Molecule: transfer RNA, 63 nt
Filed under: Luprops yunnanus
Lineage: Eukaryota; Metazoa; Arthropoda; Insecta; Coleoptera; Tenebrionidae
Description: tRNA-Leu
Rfam family: tRNA
About the family: Transfer RNA (tRNA) molecules are approximately 80 nucleotides in length.
Source: RNAcentral